CGCGUAGACUCAUGCGGUAGUGACCCCCCUUCACAGGGCGCGUGUCGCACGUAUGUUAUACGCACAGGUCUCCGAUAGCAACGAACGUGACCGUACUCUAUUGUUGCAGCGACAAUACCUUUCAACGGGUAUUACCGCUGCUUAGCAAGAUUCGUCUUGCAUUAAACUAUAGAGACCGCUGUUUCUUCUUUAAACCAGAGGAAGGAUACGGCAAUAACAGGUCUGUGAUGCCCUCAGAUGUUCCGGGCUGCACACGUGCUACAAUGAUCAUUGCACUGUGCAUCUAACCCAAUGUGCGCGGACGCCGCCGUGCGUAUAUACUUUAUUGUGUAUGCGUAUCGUGCGUGCGACCGCGCCGAACCUGCUUCGAAAGUAAACAUUUCCAGCGGGUAAUCCAUUAGAAGUAAUGACUCGCAUAGACCAUGGCACACUAUAUGUACCCGCGGGUUCUACCCGGCUCGCCUUUGUGUGAGUGCAGUGCGUAGCUCGUUGUUUGGUACGUGCCACUCCGUAUUAAUUCAUACGUGGGGAUAGAUCAUUGUUUAAUUGUUGGUCUCGGUCUUAACUAGGAAUGCCUUGUACGGGUCUUUGGUUCAACAUACCACCCGGAAUACGUCCCUGCCCUUUGUACACACCGCCCGUCGCUCUUACCGAUGGAUUAUACUAUGAAUCUAUAGGACUGCCAAAGUUGCUCUUCGCGGCGCGCUUAGUGGAAAUAUAUAGAAUAGUGUGAU
Molecule: ribosomal RNA, 734 nt
Filed under: Ammonia sp. genotype T6
Lineage: Eukaryota; Foraminifera; Rotaliida; Rotaliidae
Description: SSU rRNA
Rfam family: Eukaryotic small subunit ribosomal RNA
Source: RNAcentral